UACGAAGGGGGCUAGCGUUGCCCGGAAUCACUGGGCGUAAAGGGCUCGUAGGCGGCCAACUAAGUCGGAUGUGAAAUCCCCAGGCUCAACUUGGGAACUGCAUCCGAUACUGGAUGGCUUGAAUUCGGGAGAGGGAUGCAGAAUUCCAGGUGUAGCGGUGAAAUGCGUAGAUAUCUGGAGGAACACCGGUGGCGAAGGCGGCAUCCGGGACCAUGACUGACGCUGAGGAGCGAAAGCCAGGGGAGCAAACGGG
RNAcentral lists this ribosomal RNA (253 nucleotides) under uncultured bacterium. RNAcentral's name for it is "partial 16S ribosomal RNA". It matches the Rfam family "Bacterial small subunit ribosomal RNA", at positions 524 to 776 of the family's 1533-position model. The record is from RNAcentral.